CGGCCGCGUCGACGUAACACGUGGGCAACCUGCCCUGCAGAUGGGGAUAACUCCGGGAAACCGGGGCUAAUACCGAAUAAAUCGGUCUGUUCGCAGUGAACAGACUCUAAAAGACGGCUUCGGCUGUCACUGCAGGAUGGGCCCGCGGCGCAUUAGCUAGUUGGUAAGGUAACGGCUUACCAAGGCGACGAUGCGUAGCCGACCUGAGAGGGUGAUCGGCCACACUGGGACUGAGACACGGCCCAGACUCCUACGGGAGGCAGCAGUAGGGAAUCUUCCACAAUGGACGGAAGUCUGAUGGAGCAACGCGCGUGAGCGAAGAAGGUUUUCGGAUCGUAAAGCUCUGUUGUGAGGGAAGAACAAGUAUAGGAGUAACUGCCUGUACCUUGACGGUACCUCAUUAGAAAGCCACGGCUAACUACGUGCCAGCAGCCGCGGUAAUACGUAGGUGGCAAGCGUUGUCCGGAAUUAUGGGGUCGACGCGGCGCGAAUU
RNAcentral lists this ribosomal RNA (493 nucleotides) under uncultured bacterium. RNAcentral's name for it is "bacterial SSU rRNA". It matches the Rfam family "Bacterial small subunit ribosomal RNA", at positions 99 to 575 of the family's 1533-position model. The record is from RNAcentral.